GACGAACGCUGGCGGCGUGCUUAACACAUGCAAGUCGAACGGGCCCGGUCUCUUUUUUGGGGGUGGGUUGAGUGGCGAACGGGUGAGUAUCACGUGAGUAACCUGCCCCCUGCUCCUGGAUAACUGCUUGAAAGGGCGGCUAAUACGGGGUGUGCCGGCUGGUCCGCAUGGGCCUGGUCGGGAUAGUUUCAUCUUCGGGUGUUUCGGUGGGGGAUGGGCUCGCGGCCUAUCAGCUUGUUGGUGGGGUGAUGGCCCACCAAGGCGGUGACGGGUAGCCGGCCUGAGAGGGUGGGCGGCCACACUGGGACUGAGACACGGCCCAGACUCCUGCGGGAGGCAGCAGUGGGGGGUAUUGCACAAUGGGCGGAAGCCUGAUGCAGCGACGUCGCGUGAGGGAUGGAGGCCUUCGGGUUGUGAACCUCUUUCUCCGGUGGUGAAGGCCCUGUCCGUUGCGGCGGGGUUGACGGUAGCCGGGUAUGAAGCGCCGGCUAACUACGUG
This 499-nucleotide ribosomal RNA is filed under the name uncultured bacterium. Its description in RNAcentral is "partial 16S ribosomal RNA". It matches the Rfam family "Bacterial small subunit ribosomal RNA", at positions 28 to 507 of the family's 1533-position model. The record is from RNAcentral.